This 517-nucleotide ribosomal RNA is filed under the name uncultured bacterium. RNAcentral's name for it is "bacterial SSU rRNA". It matches the Rfam family "Bacterial small subunit ribosomal RNA", at positions 14 to 518 of the family's 1533-position model. The record is from RNAcentral.
GGAUCCUGGCUUAGGAUGAACGCUAGCUACAGGCUUAACACAUGCAAGUCGAGGGGCAGCAUAGUCAAAGCUUGCUUUGAUUGAUGGCGACCGGCGCACGGGUGAGUAACGCGUAUCCAACCUUCCCCCUUAGUAGGGCAUAGCCCGGCGAAAGUCGGAUUAAUACCCUAUGUUGUGUCAUGAGGACAUCUGACUAACACUAAAGAUUUAUCGCUAAGGGAUGGGGAUGCGUCCGAUUAGCUUGCCGGCGGGGUAACGGCCCACCGGGGCGACGAUCGGUAGGGGUUCUGAGAGGAAGGUCCCCCACACUGGUACUGAGACACGGACCAGACUCCUACGGGAGGCAGCAGUGAGGAAUAUUGGUCAAUGGGCGAGAGCCUGAACCAGCCAAGUAAGCGUGCAGGAUGACGGCCCUAUGGGUUGUAAACUGCUUUUAUGCGGGGAUAAAGUGACGUACGUGUACGUUUUUGUAGGUACCGCAUGAAUAAGGACCGGCUAAUUCCGUGCCAGCCGCCGC